RNAcentral lists this long non-coding RNA (1293 nucleotides) under Anser cygnoides (Swan goose). Its description in RNAcentral is "lncRNA (ENSACDG00005015714.1)". Lineage: Eukaryota; Metazoa; Chordata; Aves; Anseriformes; Anatidae. The record is from RNAcentral.
AUGCACCAGCCUGGGACGAUGUGGGGCUCAUGGGGGGCGGUGUGGCUGCUGUCCCCAUUGCCUCCGAGCUCCGAGCGAACGGUGACGGCACUUGUGCAGGGCCUCGAGCUCCCGAGGGACGUCUCUGCUGUCGCUCUGUGCCCGUGCCAGGCCCUGCAGGGGCGAAGGGAGAGCCUCCGGGUGGGGACACCGUGCAUUGGGGUGCGCCAUGGCCGGCUCCCCGGGGCCGCUGCUGCGUGCGGUCCCCGUCCCAAGCCCGGUCAAGUCACAGGCACAGCACGGGACAAAAACAGGAACCGCGGAGCAGCUCUUGCGGGAAGAUGCGCGGUGCCAAGGGAAGUGAAUCAGCCUUUACGCGGCCCCUGGGAACGUGCAGGGGGGGGGCACGAGGUCGAAGAGAAGAGAUUUAAAGGAGGUGGCUCUGCCGGCUGCUCCGGGGGAACCCCGGCCCCAAAAGAAGGGGGGUCUCCGGGGAAGAAAGGGGGUCUCCAGAGAAGAAGGGAGUGCUGCCGGCCGGGGAACAGCGUGCCCCGGGCUGGGGCGGCGGGGCCGGGGGGUGCCCGCACCCACCCGCACACCAGCGGUACGGGGGGCUGGGGGCUGCCCCCACCCACGGGUGCCAAGCGCGGACCCUCUGCACAACCGGGCUGGCCGCCGGGCACGGCACGGCUGGGCACGGCUGGGCACGGCUGGACCCGGCGGCAGCCUCACCUGCAUGGCGGCGGUGCAGAGCGGAGCCCGUCCUGUCCCGGUUCAGCCUGUCCCCGUUUAGCCUCUCCCGUCCCGGCCCGGCUCGGCUCAGCCCGGCGCGGCUGCGUGACGCGCGGCGCGGAGCGCUCCGGGAGUUGUAGUGCCCUGCCCGGCCGUGCCCUGUCCAGCCGUGCCCGGCCGUGCUGUGCCGAGCAGUGCCCAGCCGUGCCGUGCCCAGCCGUGCCGUGCCCAGCCGAGCCUUAUCCAGCCGUGCCCAGCCGUGCCCUGUCCAGCCGUGCCCAGCCGUGCCUUGUCCAGCCGUGCCCAGCCGUGCCUUGUCCAGCCGUGCCCAGCCGUGCCUUGUCCAGCCGUGCCGUGCCCAGCCGUGCCGUGCCCAGCCGUGCCGUGCCCAGCCGUGCCGUGCCCAGCCGUGCCCUGUCCAGCCGUGCCCAGCCGUGCCUUGUCCAGCCGUGCCCAGCCGUGCCCAGCCGUGCUGUGCCGAGCCGUGCCCAGCCGAGCCGUGCCGUGCCACCGGCUGUAUUUUUCUUUACGGGCAAAGAGCUGGCACUGGAGUUUUCAGGCUGCAUUCGCUGCUUGAAAUAA